CCUACGGGAGGCAGCAGUGGGGAAUAUUGCACAAUGGGGGAAACCCUGAUGCAGCGACGCCGCGUGAGCGAUGACGUAUUUCGGUAUGUAAAGCUCUAUCAGCAGGGAAGCAAAUGACGGUACCUGACUAAGAAGCCCCGGCUAAAUACGUGCCAGCAGCCGCGGUAAUACGUCGGGAGCAAGCGUUAUCCGGAUUUACUGGGUGUAAAGGGGGCGUAGACGGUCCUGCAGGCCAGAUGUGAAAGCCCGGGGCUCAACCCCGGGACUGCAUUUGGAACUGUAAGGCUAGAGUGGCGGAGAGGCAGGCGGAAUGCCUAGUGUAGCGGUGAAAUGCGUAGAUAUUAGGAGGAACACCAGUGGCGAAGGCGGCGUGCUGGACGAUGACUGACGUUGAGGCUCGAAAGCGUGGGGAGCAAACAGGAUUAGAUACCCCAGUAGUC
RNAcentral lists this ribosomal RNA (440 nucleotides) under uncultured bacterium. Its description in RNAcentral is "partial 16S ribosomal RNA". It matches the Rfam family "Bacterial small subunit ribosomal RNA", at positions 338 to 795 of the family's 1533-position model. The record is from RNAcentral.